UUUGUCUGCUUUGCAGGAGUUAUCCAUUUUUCAGAUGGUCUUCAGAGAAGAUUUUUUGUGUUUCUUCUUCAAAUGAACCCAGCUGCAGCAAACAGAGCCAGGAGCUCAACCAACAACAUGAAGCAUAGGGAUGGCAGAAAGUAUCCUUCUGUGUCUUUUCAUGGGUAAUCAUCAACAGGAGCACCCAGGUUAAGGUGAGAGCUCUGGGAUCGGCGCAUGUGAUGCCCUGGAGGUGUCUGCAGACCUGCAGACCAGCUGCUGCACCUGGCAGGGAUGCAAGACA
Molecule: long non-coding RNA, 283 nt
Organism: Chinchilla lanigera (long-tailed chinchilla)
Lineage: Eukaryota; Metazoa; Chordata; Mammalia; Rodentia; Chinchillidae
Exons: 3
Source: RefSeq, a predicted model, not a curated record